GCCGUGCCAGGGGGCGGGCGCUAGACUGUGGCUUAGGUGGGCAACAGGAGAAUGUUCUCAGAUGAAUCUGAGGGCUCAAGCGGAACACACUGUCUCCUCGUGUCCUCUGUGUUAUCCAGGUUUUAUGUAGGCCCUGCUAACCCCAGGGUCGCAUAACUGUUAUGUCCCAUCCCGCACACCACGGGGGGUGUAACAUGAGGAAUCAGACGAGGUGGGAGGCAGAGAUACUUAAAGAACUUGCAGACUCCUGUCUUUACAGUGAUGGUGAUGGAAACCAGGACUCUUAACGUCUACAAUCCAAAACCACCAGUGAACCUACACGUCUUCUGAGUUUUAUGUACCACUGAUGAUGG
Molecule: long non-coding RNA, 353 nt
Organism: Pygocentrus nattereri (red-bellied piranha)
Lineage: Eukaryota; Metazoa; Chordata; Actinopteri; Characiformes; Serrasalmidae
Source: Ensembl